Paramuricea clavata is the source of this 1784-nucleotide non-coding RNA. The record is from the annotation of a GenBank genome assembly. NCBI's taxonomy places the organism in Eukaryota, Metazoa, Cnidaria, Anthozoa, Malacalcyonacea, Plexauridae.
UGCAGGCAUAUUUUUCAAGCCUGCCCAAUGUCUCACAGUAACAUCACAAGCAUCAUGAAACUGAUAUAAGGAUUAAGGGUUCUAUAUGACACAAAUUAAUGUAUAUAUAGUUAAGCAAAAAUAUGCAUUUGUUCCAUAGCUCCGUCGUUAUUAUAAAUCAGAAGCUGAUGAUAGAUAGAAAUAAUUCUGUACAAUGAAAAGGAAGACAAAUGUGCCCAAAUAGGUAAUGAUUAGUACAUUAUGAUUCUGAGUGCAUGAUUCAUAUAACAUCAAUGUUCUAUAAGUCUAGCAAUUUCAAAUACAUAUGUCAUAUAUUGAAUAUUAUCACCCCUCUCAAUAUUAUGGUCCCAUGGCCAAUAUGUGUACUGAAGUCUGUGUAAUAAUUAAGUGUAGUAUGCCGCUCGCUGCCGAUGGCAUUUGGACAUACAGUCAUACCGUUAAAGGCCAUAAGGCUUCGAAGUGAAGGCGGUGAGCAUAUAGUCAUAACCACAACUAUUUGUAUUUGGAGAGUAUAUUCCUUAAUAUUUCUGUGGACGAAAUAUGUGUUAAAUACAUUGUAUGUGCACAAGAAAUUCGCCAAAAAGGACUGGUUGAUCAGUGUUGUUCUGUGACUGUGUGGGGUAUCAUAGAAACGUUUACAUCCGAAACUUACAAUAGGUGAAGGGAAAAGAUCUUGGGCCGUUACAACAGUAACAAACUAACAUUAUUGUAGAGAUAUCCUGUUGAAACAAUCAGGGGACAUUGUUAUUGGCUUCAAUUGCAUAUUAACGCGAGAAUCAAAGCAACAUUCGAAAAUAAAUUUCGGUCAGUUGCAUGUUUUCCUGAGUCAGGGUGCAUGGUAUAUUGGUCCGCAAAGUUUCUCGCUGUGCCCUUUCUACAUACAUUUACAUGGUAACCACAUGACUGACAAGAAUUGUCCCUUGUAUUGAAUUCCUCUUAUUUUAUUAUAGCCAUAUGCAAUGCCAAUGGGGUUAAAUAGCCAGUAAAUAUAACAUGCAUAUUGCAUUCGAGUAACAGCCGGUUCGUCAGUUUUGAAUUUUGUAACUGUUAUUGUUGUUAUCAGACCAUUUAAAAUUCAUCAUAACCAUUACUCAUUAGCACGUAUACCGACGGUAUAGUCGAGUUUACCAAGACUGAAUAGUAUCGCAUCACAGGCAUUGCUAUUUGGUAAUUGGUCUUUGUAUUGUCCUGUGAAGGAAUGAAUGUCAUUCUAUAAAUGCAAUGUUUGUCCUGCAGUCCAGAACAACAGUGAUUGCAGCAGAUGGACUAUGUCUAUUAUAUAUGACAUAUGUACAAGGUGUUUAGCCUAUGGCUAUGCCAUGUUAAACAGAUAAUGAUUCACAAAAUAGGAUAGUGCAACUUCCCAAUGCCAAUGGUGUGUUGUUAUUGUUAUUGUUAUAUGAAACAUUGUCAUUGAGUACCAGACCGCUCUACUGUUCCAGUCUGGCCUGAUUUGUUUGGCUUGAAGCGGAGAUUGGGUAUAUUUCCAUACAUAAUGACCAGUGAAUAUUCUACACUGCUGUUCUUAAAUUCAAGGCAUAGCAAAUUACUAAUCUUUAUACUUUAAUACAAAUUGCUUUGGCUAUACAAAAAGCCCCCAAGAGGUUAAGAUAAUGUCCAAUUUUGUUCUCAGGGAACAAGAUUAGCCUCCAUGCAGAUUUGCAGACAUUAACCACACCUUCAAUUCUAAUCAGGAAUUGAAAUCUGAUCCCAGUAAUGCUAAUGCAUGGUUAAAUAAGCAGGUACAAACUGUACAAUUCAGUAAAUUUCUCAUUGGCCUGGUC